Molecule: ribosomal RNA, 492 nt
Filed under: uncultured bacterium
Lineage: Bacteria
Description: partial 16S ribosomal RNA
Rfam family: Bacterial small subunit ribosomal RNA
Source: RNAcentral
GAUGAACGCUAGCUACAGGCUUAACACAUGCAAGUCGAGGGGAAACGGCAUUAAGUGCUUGCACUUUUUGGACGUCGACCGGCGCACGGGUGAGUAACGCGUAUCCAACCUUCCCAUGACUAAGGGAUAACCUGCCGAAAGGCAGACUAAUACCUUAUGGUCUUCACUGACGGCAUCAGAUGUGAAGUAAAGAUUUACCGGUUAUGGAUGGGGAUGCGUCUGAUUAGCUUGUUGGCGGGGUAACGGCCCACCAAGGCAACGAUCAGUAGGGGUUCUGAGAGGAAGGUCCCCCACAUUGGAACUGAGACACGGUCCAAACUCCUACGGGAGGCAGCAGUGAGGAAUAUUGGUCAAUGGGCGAGAGCCUGAACCAGCCAAGUAGCGUGCAGGAUGACGGCCCUAUGGGUUGUAAACUGCUUUUGUAUGGGGAUAAAGUCAAUCACGUGUGAUUGUUUGCAGGUACCAUACGAAUAAGGACCGGCUAAUUCCGUG